AAGACUAUAGACCUGCGGAGUACCUGCGGAGGGAUCAUCAUUGAACCUCUAAAUAUCAACAAACACCUGUGUGAACCGUCGGGGGCUGGGAGAGGGUGUGAUGCGCAAGCGUCCCCCCCUCGCCCGCCUUCAUUUUUUCCCGCUUUUGCGGGGGAAAACGAAAACCCCAAACAAAACUCUUGAUCUUUUUGACAGAUUCCAAAUGUUAUCGCAAGGUAACGCUUGAAAAAAAAACAUAAA
RNAcentral lists this unclassified non-coding RNA (240 nucleotides) under soil metagenome. RNAcentral describes it as "partial contains 5.8S ribosomal RNA, internal transcribed spacer 2, and large subunit ribosomal RNA". The record is from RNAcentral.